RNAcentral lists this ribosomal RNA (395 nucleotides) under uncultured bacterium. RNAcentral's name for it is "partial 16S ribosomal RNA". It matches the Rfam family "Bacterial small subunit ribosomal RNA", at positions 523 to 918 of the family's 1533-position model. The record is from RNAcentral.
AUACGUAGGGUGCAAGCGUUAAUCGGAAUUACUGGGCGUAAAGCGUGCGCAGGCGGUUUUGUAAGACAGAGGUGAAAUCCCCGGGCUCAACCUGGGAAAUGCCUUUGUGGAUGCCAGGCUAGAGUAAGGGAGAGGGGGAUGGAAUUCCGCGUGUAGAAGGGAAAUGCGUAGAUAUGCGGAGGAACACCGAUGGCGAAGGCAAUCCCCUGGGCCUGUACUGACGCUCAUGCACGAAAGCGUGGGGAGCAAACAGGAUUAGAUACCCUGGUAGUCCACGCCCUAAACGAUGUCAACUGGUUGUUGGGUCUUCAUUGACUCAGUAACGAAGCUAACGCGUGAAGUUGACCGCCUGGGGAGUACGGCCGCAAGGUUGAAACUUAAAGGAAUUGGCGGGG